RNAcentral lists this ribosomal RNA (460 nucleotides) under uncultured bacterium. RNAcentral's name for it is "partial 16S ribosomal RNA". It matches the Rfam family "Bacterial small subunit ribosomal RNA", at positions 338 to 795 of the family's 1533-position model. The record is from RNAcentral.
CCUACGGGGUGCAGCAGUGAGGAAUAUUGGUCAAUGGGCGGAAGCCUGAACCAGCCAAGUCGCGUGAGGGAUUAAGGCCCUGCGGGUCGUAAACCUCUUUUGCCGGGGAGCAGAGGUCCGGACGUGUCCGGGCCGGGAGAGUACCCGGAGACAAAGCAUCGGCUAACUCCGUGCCAGCAGCCGCGGUAAUACGGAGGAUGCGAGCGUUAUCCGGAUUUAUUGGGGUUAAAGGGUGCGUAGGCGGGCAUUUAAGCCGGCGGUCAAAUGUCGGGGCUCAACCCCGGCCUGCCGUCGGAACUGGGUGCCUUGAGUGGGCGAGAAGGAGGCGGAAUGCGUGGUGUAGCGGUGAAAUGCAUAGAUAUCACGCAGAACCCCGAUUGCGAAGGCAGCAUACCGGCGCCCUACUGACGCUGAGGCACGAAAGUGCGGGUAUCGAACAGGAUUAGAUACCCUGGUAGUC